Molecule: ribosomal RNA, 495 nt
Filed under: uncultured bacterium
Lineage: Bacteria
Description: partial 16S ribosomal RNA
Rfam family: Bacterial small subunit ribosomal RNA
Source: RNAcentral
GAUGAACGCUAGCGGGAGGCCUAACACAUGCAAGCCGAGCGGUAUUGUUUCUUCGGAAAUGAGAGAGCGGCGUACGGGUGCGUAACACGUGUGCAACCUGCCUUUAUCUGGGGGAUAGCCUUUCGAAAGGAAGAUUAAUACUCCAUAACAUAUUGAACGGCAUCGUUUAAUAUUGAAAGCUCCGGCGGAUAGAGAUGGGCACGAGCAAGAUUAGCUAGUGGGUGAGGUAACGGCUCACCAAGGCGAUGAUGGUUAGGGGGCCUGAGAGGGUGAUCUCCCACACUGGUACUGAGACACGGACCAGACUCCUACGGGAGGCAGCAGUGAGGAAUAUUGGACAAUGGGUGAAAGCCUGAUCCAGCCAUCCCGCGUGAAGGACGACUGCCCUAUGGGUUGUAAACUUCUUUUGUAUAGGGAUAAACCUACCCUCGUGAGGGUAGCUGAAGGUACUAUACGAAUAAGCACCGGCUAACUCCGUGCCAGCCGCCGCAGUAA